UACGUAGGGUGCAAGCGUUGUCCGGAAUUAUUGGGCGUAAAGAGCUCGUAGGCGGUUCGUCGCGUCGGCUGUGAAAACCUGAGGCUCAACCUCAGGCCUGCAGUCGAUACGGGCGGACUUGAGUACUGCAGGGGAGACUGGAAUUCCUGGUGUAGCGGUGGAAUGCGCAGAUAUCAGGAGGAACACCAAUGGCGAAGGCAGAUCUCUGGGCCGUAACUGACGCUGAGGAGCGAAAGCAUGGGGGAGCGAACAGG
Molecule: ribosomal RNA, 254 nt
Filed under: uncultured bacterium
Lineage: Bacteria
Description: partial 16S ribosomal RNA
Rfam family: Bacterial small subunit ribosomal RNA
Source: RNAcentral